AUUGAAAGCUGGCGGCAGGCUUAACACAUGCAAGUCGAACGAGUGGCGGACGGGUGAGUAAUGCUUGGGAAUCUAGCUUCUGGAGGGGGAUAAAUACGGGAAACUGUAGCUAAUACCGCGUACCAUAGGAUGAGCCCACGUGGGAUUAGGUAGUUGGUGAGGUAAAGGAUAACCAAGACGACGAUCUCUAGCUGGUCGGAGAGGAUGACCAGCCACACUGGGACUGAGACACGGCCCAGACGCCUACGGGAGGCAGCAGUGGGGAAUAUUGCGCAAUGGGGGCAACCUGACGCAGCCAUGCCGCGUGAAUGAAGAAUGCCUUCGGGUUGUAAAGUUCUUUCGGUAGCGAGGCGUUAACUACAGAAGAAGCCCCGGCUAACUCCGUGCCAGCAGCCGCGGUAAUAC
This 405-nucleotide ribosomal RNA is filed under the name uncultured bacterium. Its description in RNAcentral is "partial 16S ribosomal RNA". It matches the Rfam family "Bacterial small subunit ribosomal RNA", at positions 30 to 526 of the family's 1533-position model. The record is from RNAcentral.